This is a long non-coding RNA of Tyto alba (common barn owl), 2992 nucleotides long. RefSeq lists it as uncharacterized. The transcript has 2 exons. The record is from RefSeq and is a predicted model, not a curated record. NCBI's taxonomy places the organism in Eukaryota, Metazoa, Chordata, Aves, Strigiformes, Tytonidae.
ACUUCAGCUUUUAUUAUCGUAUCAAUAAAACCAAAAGCUUUUCUUAAUCAAAGCUGAGAUCUGGCGGAAGGCUGGAAGAAGAGCUAAAGGACUUGCAAACUGAAAAGUGUGCUUAUAAAAUCUGAAGUGUACUGACUUAGAAAAAUACCCAAGUAUGAAGAUUCCUGGUGUGUGUUUCAUGCUGGCGCUCUAUUACCUGUUUCAUUUCAACCUUUAACAAGAGUAGUUACAGUUGUUUCAUUUGAGUUGGUUUGCACAUAAUUCCUCUUUGAUAUGGUUAGGCCUUGUAAGGCCAGCUGUCCUGCUGAGGAAUGAUGACAAAAAAAGGCCGAAUUGCAGUGCUUCCAGCAAGCAGUUUGCUCUCCUUGGAAGCACGAUGACAAAAAUAAUCCGAAGCGAAUCGUUAGUCUGACCUCAGUCAAAACACUGGCAUGCAUUAGCAAAAAGAUGAUAGAGAGUAAAGGACAGGAAAGAGACAAUCUAGGGAGCUUAGAACAGUAACAAGAGGAUUAGAAACGAGUGUGUGACUUACUGUUAUAGUUCAUCUAAUAUGUAACUUUUAGAGUAAACAGUUGUAGGCAGUGAUAGGUAAAUCAGGUUCCCAGACUUUGCUGAUCUGGACCUACUAUGCUGCUUCAAACUGGUAUUUCUAGUUUCUAUCACGUUAUGUACCAAAAACUUACAUGAAGGUCAGAACUAAUGAGUGUUUUCUUCCCCCCCAUAAAGGUUAUUGCAGGAUAGGUUCCUUGUGACUCCCCUACCUUUUGGAGAAUCUUUAAUGUACCUCUUCUGCUUACGCUAGGGCCCUGCCUAAUGUGGGAGCUGAUACUCUAGGUGGUGUGGGUUCCUUCUGCCCCCCCUCCUGCCCUGAUCUCUUUUCUCUCCCUAGCUGCACAUCUUCACUAAAACAUGCAGGAACUUGUCUUGCAGGCCUCUGUCCCUGUGUCAGAUUUUGCUGUAAGCAGGCAGAGGGUUUAUUAGGAGAGGCAUUCGUGCGGUCUGAUUAUACGAAGCUGAAGCACAGUGCCCACGUGAAGUGGACAGCCCCCCAAUGGUGAUGUUGAACAAAUCAGUUGGGGAAGAAUCCCUAGCACAACUAGGGGCUUUUAUGGUAGAACAAGUCUUGUUAGUAUUGUGUUCAGUGCUUUGGCUUUGUUAGUUCUGGUGUUACUGUCAGGGAGAAAAUUUUUUAAAGUGAAAGUGAUUUUUAAAAAGGAACUGUGAACAUGUCAAAAUAGACUGGUGUUUAAAGCAACAACUACAGGCCUCUCUUUGUUCAGAAAUUUUAGAAAUUUUAUAGUAAAUAACUAAAACUUUCAGACUUUAUAGCAAGCGAAAAUGAGCGGUAGACGUUUCAGGUCUAAAGGCAUGUUAAUAGUUUAAUUACCUGCAGUACCAAUUUAACUAGAAAGUUUGGAUUUCCUUUUACUAAUGACCCCUAGAAUAGAUUCUUCUUUGGCUCUGAGCAAUGCUUGGAGGAGAUUCUUUGCAUGUACUAGAGAAGUUUGAUUAGAUAGCAGUAAACCCUUCCCCCUGCUGCUUACACCCCCCAUCCCCCCUGCCCCCUGAGUAUGUGAAUGUCGCCUGGUAACCUGUUGCCAGUAAUUAGUGCUGGAUUCUGGAGGUGUGCCAGAGGAGUUGUGGGACAAUUUAACUACAGUGAGAAUGCUUUUAAUCCAUGCUGAUUUAAUAAAUUGGGCACCGGUAUAUUCCUGCCAAAGUUGCGCUGUUACACUUUGGGAAUUCUGGUCCUGUGCCAGGUUGUAACCAGCAUGGAGAAACACCAUUGCAAAAACUGUCAAACGUGGAAAGGCUUUUUUUUUUUUUUUUUUUUUUUUUUUUUAAAUCACUUCUUGAUUCAGGAAUGAUCAUCCAGUUUUUCUGCCUGGCCUGCUGAGCUUUCUGCAAGGCUGGCCAGCAGUAUUUGUCCGGAGAGGAGAGCAGCAAGCGCGUAGCAAUGGUUACCCCCUGUCCUGGGCCCUGUGGUUCAGGGGGUGUCUGAGGCAGAGGCAGUAUCUACACUUGCCCGUUUUGAUGAGCUCCAUCAAAAGCAAAAGGUGUUGGUUUUACUUUAUGAUGGCAACAGAUAGGACACAACAGGUUGGGCUGAUUAUUUAGCUGCCCCAUAAAAGCAGACUUCUUUUGUCUAGGCAUGCAACUACGGUUAGCGAUACCAGCUGAACUUUGAAGUAUACAGCAGUAGGUUAAGAAUGGCAUUCUGAAUUUGUGGAAUACUUUUUCAGUUGUUGCCAUAAAAACAUGGUUUUAUUACACAUCAGCAUCCCAAGUGUUGGUAAAACUGAGAACUCCUGCUCAGCAGAGCCUUUAGCAUUCUGAAUCAAGCCAGUAACGAUGAUGAUGUGGCAAUGGCGAGGUGAUAUGUGAAGAUUUGGGAAUUGGAAUUGUAGAUUAAACAUGCACAAAGCAAGCUGAAGGCUGUUGUUUUUGUUCAGUAUGGGUCCUGAUCUCUCUCCUCAGAUAUCCUGCUGUAUUGCAAAACUUGAUUUGAGAGUUUUAAAAGUAGAACGUCUCUCUAAUUGCAUGUGUUUGUGUGAAGAAUGCAAUGCCUGGAAACUGUCCGUUAUACUUCCAUUGGAUCUGAAACUACUUUUCACCAUCUGAAACAUGGUAACGAUACUGCAUUUUAAAACGAGCUUAUCCUUCUUAAUUCAGAAGAGCAAAAUAAUUUGAGUUUUCAUCAUUCUUUUAGUCUGAAGCUUAAGUCCAAAGCUUUGAAGCCAGUUACUUCUAUGAUAAACAUAACUGCAGAGCACCAUUUGAAGUUGCUAGUCUGUCUCAGCAACUACUUGCAAUCGACUGUCUCUUAUGGUAACCUUGUUCUAACUUGGUUGCAUUGUUUGGAUUAAGCACUGGGCUAUGUCUUUUCCAUUGUAUAUGUACAACUGUAAGAAUGUCAAGUUAUCCAUUGUUGUAAUUUAAUGGUUAAAAGCUCAAAUUCCGUAAUAAAUUAUACAGAUCUUUUAAAAAGCAA